CCUACGGGGGGCAGCAGUGGGGAAUAUUGCGCAAUGGGCGAAAGCCUGACGCAGCGACGCCGCGUGAGGGAUGAAGGUCUUCGGAUCGUAAACCUCUGUCAGCAGGGAAGAACGGUCACUGUGCUAAUCAGCAGUGAAUUGACGGUACCUGCAACGGAAGCACCGGCUAACUCCGUGCCAGCAGCCGCGGUAAUACGGAGGGUGCGAGCGUUAAUCGGAAUUACUGGGCGUAAAGCGCCCGUAGGCGGUAUGUCAAGUCAAGGGUGAAAUCCCCGCGCGCAACGUGGGAACUGCCUUGGAUACUGGCAAACUGGAAUGUGUGAGAGGAUAGAGGAAUUCGAGGUGUAGGAGUGAAAGCCGUAGAUAUC
RNAcentral lists this ribosomal RNA (368 nucleotides) under uncultured bacterium. RNAcentral's name for it is "partial 16S ribosomal RNA". It matches the Rfam family "Bacterial small subunit ribosomal RNA", at positions 338 to 698 of the family's 1533-position model. The record is from RNAcentral.